Molecule: ribosomal RNA, 435 nt
Filed under: Triticum aestivum (bread wheat)
Lineage: Eukaryota; Viridiplantae; Streptophyta; Magnoliopsida; Poales; Poaceae
Description: partial small subunit ribosomal RNA
Source: RNAcentral
AUGGCGUCCUGCAGCUGCUCGGCGCGGGAGGCGGCAAGGCCGGAGGAGAGCGCGGCGGAGGAGAAGUCGGAGGGGGAGAAGGACGGGGAGAGGAAGGCGGAGAGGACGGGAUCGGAGGCGAAGGCGUCGAGCGGGGAGGCGGGGUCGGGGGAGGAGGAGGUGGGGGAAGGAGGCGAGGCGAAGGAGCUUCCGGUGAUGAGGUCCUUGGACGUCGGCGAGAGCAGGAGGCGCGGCGUGGCUGGGGCGGCCAUGGCGGUGGCCGUCGCCGGGGCGGGUGGUGGAUCUGGGGGUAGGAGAGAUCCGGAAGACUCACUACUCACUAGGCGUCAUUUGGUCGCUAGAAGGUUGAGAAAAUUGGCUAAUUUCACGAAAAAAAAGGGAACAUUUUUCACAUUACGAAAGCCGGGCAUGUACAAUAGGGACAACAUAAUGUAG